Molecule: ribosomal RNA, 1247 nt
Filed under: Streptomyces corchorusii
Lineage: Bacteria; Bacillati; Actinomycetota; Actinomycetes; Kitasatosporales; Streptomycetaceae
Description: bacterial SSU rRNA
Rfam family: Bacterial small subunit ribosomal RNA
Source: RNAcentral
GGAUGAGCCCGCGGCCUAUCAGCUUGUUGGUGAGGUAAUGGCUCACCAAGGCGACGACGGGUAGCCGGCCUGAGAGGGCGACCGGCCACACUGGGGCUGAGACACGGCCCAGACUCCUACGGGAGGCAGCAGUGGGGAAUAUUGCACAAUGGGCGAAAGCCUGAUGCAGCGACGCCGCGUGAGGGAUGACGGCCUUCGGGUUGUAAACCUCUUUCAGCAGGGAAGAAGCGAAAGUGACGGUACCUGCAGAAGAAGCGCCGGCUAACUACGUGCCAGCAGCCGCGGUAAUACGUAGGGCGCAAGCGUUGUCCGGAAUUAUUGGGCGUAAAGAGCUCGUAGGCGGCUUGUCACGUCGGGUGUGAAAGCCCGGGGCUUAACCCCGGGUCUGCAUUCGAUACGGGCUAGCUAGAGUGUGGUAGGGGAGAUCGGAAUUCCUGGUGUAGCGGUGAAAUGCGCAGAUAUCAGGAGGAACACCGGUGGCGAAGCGGAUCUCUGGGCCAUUACUGACGCUGAGGAGCGAAAGCGUGGGGAGCGAAACAGGAUUAGAUACCCUGGUAGUCCACGCCGUAAACGGUGGGAACUAGGUGUUGGCGACAUUCCACGUCGUCGGUGCCGCAGCUAACGCAUUAAGUUCCCCGCCUGGGGAGUACGGCCGCAAGGCUAAAACUCAAAGGAAUUGACGGGGGCCCGCACGAGCAGCGGAGCAUGUGGCUUAAUUCGACGCAACGCGAAGAACCUUACCAAGGCUUGACAUACACCGGAAAACCCUGGAGACAGGGUCCCCCUUGUGGUCGGUGUACAGGUGGUGCAUGGCUGUCGUCAGCUCGUGUCGUGAGAUGUUGGGUUAAGUCCCGCAACGAGCGCAACCCUUGUCCUGUGUUGCCAGCAUGCCCUUCGGGGUGAUGGGGACUCACAGGAGACCGCCGGGGUCAACUCGGAGGAAGGUGGGGACGACGUCAAGUCAUCAUGCCCCUUAUGUCUUGGGCUGCACACGUGCUACAAUGGCCGGUACAAUGAGCUGCGAUACCGUGAGGUGGAGCGAAUCUCAAAAAGCCGGUCUCAGUUCGGAUUGGGGUCUGCAACUCGACCCCAUGAAGUCGGAGUUGCUAGUAAUCGCAGAUCAGCAUUGCUGCGGUGAAUACGUUCCCGGGCCUUGUACACACCGCCCGUCACGUCACGAAAGUUGGUAACACCCGAAGCCGGUGGCCCAACCCCUUGUGGGAGGGAGCUGUCGAAGGUGGGGCUGG